UGCAGUCGACGAUGAAGACCGUGCUUGCACGGUUGGAUUAGUGGCGAACGGGUGAGUAUCACGUGAGUAACCUUCCCUUAACUCUGGGAUAAGCCCGGGAAACUGGGUCUAAUACCGGAUACGACCAGUCCUCGCAUGGGGUGCUGGUGGAAAGAUUUAUCGGUUUUGGAUGGACUCGCGGCCUAUCAGCUUGUUGGUGAGGUAAUGGCUCACCAAGGCGAUGACGGGUAGCCGGCCUGAGAGGGUGACCGGCCACACUGGGACUGAGACACGGCCCAGACUCCUACGGGAGGCAGCAGUGGGGAAUAUUGCACAAUGGGCGAAAGCCUGAUGCAGCGACGCCGCGUGCGGGAUGACGGCCUUCGGGUUGUAAACCGCUUUCAGCAGGGAAGAAGCGAAAGUGACGGUACCUGCAGAAGAAGCGCCGGCUAACUACGUGCCAGCAGCCGCGGUAAUACGUAGGGCGCGAGCGUUAUCCGGAAUUAUUGGGCGUAAAGAGCUCGUAGGCGGUUUGUCACGUCUGCUGUGAAAGCCCGGGGCUCAACCCCGGGUGUGCAGUGGGUACGGGCAGACUAGAGUGCAGUAGGGGAGACUGGAAUUCCUGGUGUAGCGGUGAAAUGCGCAGAUAUCAGGAGGAACACCGAUGGCGAAGGCAGGUCUCUGGGCUGUUACUGACGCUGAGGAGCGAAAGCAUGGGGAGCGAACAGGAUUAGAUACCCUGGUAGUCCAUGCCGUAAACGUUGGGCACUAGGUGUGGGGAACAUUCCACGUUUUCCGCGCCGUAGCUAACGCAUUAAGUGCCCCGCCUGGGGAGUACGGCCGCAAGGCUAAAACUCAAAGGAAUUGACGGGGGGCCCGCACAAGCGGCGGAGCAUGCGGGAUUAAUUCGAUGCAACGCGGAAGAACCUUACCAAGGCUUGACAUGGAACGGGACCGCUGCAGAGAUGCAGCUUCCCUU
RNAcentral lists this ribosomal RNA (958 nucleotides) under Nesterenkonia sandarakina. RNAcentral describes it as "bacterial SSU rRNA". It matches the Rfam family "Bacterial small subunit ribosomal RNA", at positions 56 to 1019 of the family's 1533-position model. The record is from RNAcentral. Lineage: Bacteria; Bacillati; Actinomycetota; Actinomycetes; Micrococcales; Micrococcaceae.